AGACAGGAAAAACACCCAAAAGGUAAAGGCCAGGCUGGUUCAUGCCGGACACCUAACCCCCUGCUACCACAUGCUGUUUUCCACACUGGGUGCUGGCCUGUGGGAACCUGCACAAGUCGGGGGCAACAUGGUCCCAGGAAGUCUUUGACAGGCUGCCCCCUGCUGGCUGCUGCGGGAACCACAUGGCAGAUGGCUCCUGGUGUCCCCUGGAAGGGGUAUCAGAUUUCCUUCGUUCUUGGAAUCUCUGCGGUUUGGGAAGACAAACAGAACUGUUCUGCCCCGGGGGAGGGAGCUGCAAAUGCAAAAGAGGCUCCAUCACGCGGUGCAGAGCUGGGGGCACCGCUGGCCCACCCAUCCCUGUCGAGUCCUCUGACCCGUUUCUUCAUUUCUCAGUCAGGUCUUGCUCUGUCACCCAGGCUGGAGUGUGUGGUGCGAUCAUGCCUCACAGCAGCCUUGACAUCCCCAGGCUCAGAUGAUCCUCCCACCUCAGCCUCCUGAGUAGCCGCGACUACAGGCGCAUGCCACCACACCCAGGGUCCCAUCCAGAUACCACAUGACACCCGGUUGUCCUGUCUUCGGAGGCUCCUCCUGGCUGGGACAGCUUCUCAGACUUUCCUUGCUGCGAUGGCUGCUCAAGCUUUGAGGAGUACAGACAGAAUACAUUUCAGCUCCAAAACCAGCAUUGUCUUUAAUGGGGACUCCUAGAGGCAUUCCCACCAAGUUAGGAACAAGACAGCACGCCCACUGUUACCAGCGUAAAUCAACAAUGUACCGGAGGUGCUAACCCACACAAUAAGGCAACAUCUCCAGCAUGAAGCCCACUGGCCUCAUGUCUGUACUUCUGGAGUCCAGGUGAGCAAAGGUCACCUGCCCACUGGACUUGGCCCACAUGGACUACACCUGAGCCACCAAUCCUCUUGGAGGCCUUCUUGCCUCUAUUUGCUGCAUUCCUUCUUCUCCCCUUUGGACUGCGAGCUCCUCAAGGGAACAGCCUAUAGCUUCCUAUUCAUCUCCCACUCACCCGACCUGCCACACUGGCCAGCCCACUGGAUGGGAGGUAACAGUGUGCUGGACAUUCUGAGGGCUGCAGGGGCCUCCUGUGGACCCUGCUCUCUUGCAGGUGACCCAUCAGUGCGCUGUACUUCUACAAAUUGUUGGAAUGGAGACUUUUUUUUUUUUCUAAGUUAUUUGAGUCAAAACGAUCUUGACGGGAAGCUGUUAGAGGUCUCAUGGAAAUAGGCCUGGAGGACAGGAUUUGGCUGAGGCUUUCAACUGACAUCAGACAAGACUGCAAUCAAGGGAAAGCAGACCUGGGGCCCACGGGCAAUCACAUGGGAUGAGAAAUACCAAAGAAUGUGACCAUCCAGGUAGCCGGGGGACACAGCUCCAAAAAAGUGAGAGUGGUGCUGGAUUAGCUCCAUUGGAGGAACUGGAGGUUCCAUUGGAUGGUGCUGGAUUAGUUCCAUUGCCGUUUGGCAAACCAGGUAAAUAAUGCAUAUUCUAUAUGUGAAUUUGCGUUUCCUGCUUCUCCCAGCAUGAUCACCCGUGGACUAAUGGAAUGCCUUAUUCACCAGCAUGUAUUCAAUAUUGCUUUUAAUCAAGAAACAAAUUUCACAGCAAAGAAAGUGAGGCAAUGGGCUUGUGACCAGGUAAUCACAGUCAUACCACGUAUCUCAGCAGGAGGAAGCAGCUGGACAAACAUUAGAGUGAAACGGCCUCGUGAAGACUCCGUUACAGCACCACUUGGGAGACAACUUUUGGGUGCUGCCCCCAAGGUUCUGCUUUGCAUGUGUUGUCUCUCCUAUAACCAGGAUUCACGGGUCCAGGAAUCAAGGGAUAGAAGUAGGAGUGGUUCCUCUCACCUGUCCCCUCAACUGGAGUUCUACUGGUUUGGAGGGCUUGGUUUUUACAGGAGGAAUGCUUCCGGGGAACACAAGACAACAGCUCACUGAAUUGUACAUUGAGGCUCACCUGCUGUUUUGGGCCCUUCUGGGCACUGAACCAACAAGCAAAUAAGGGGUUUACUGACUCGGGUGUAUUACCAAGGGGAAACAAAUGCUGCUGCAUACUAGGGGCAGGGAGAACUGUCUAGAAUCCAUACUUUUCUGAGGUCCCUCUUACAAAUAGCAAAAACGAAAGACUGUAACAAAGGAAGGACAACUAAUUCAGACACCCUAGGAAUAAAGGUUUGGAUCAACCAUACCAAAAAAAGAAUCCUGACCAGCGGAGAUCCUGGGUGAGGGCAAAGGAAAUACAGAAUAGGCAGUGGAAAAGAAAGUGAUACAUAACUACAGCCUCAUGAUCAUUACAGAUGAUACAUAAUCUUUUUUUUUUUUUUUUUGAGACGAAGUCUCACUCUGUCGCCCAGGCUGGAGUACAGUGGCGCUAUCUCAGCUCACUGCAACCUCCUCCUCCUGGGUUCAGACGAUUCUCCUGCCUCAGCCUCCUGAGCAGCUGGGACUACUGGCGCGCGCCACCACGCCCACCUAAUUUUUGUAUUUUUAGUACAGAUGGGGGUUUCACCAUAUUGGCCAGGCUGGUCUCGAACUCCUAACCUCAUGAUCCACCCACCUCGGCCUCCCAAAGUGCUGGGAUUACAGGCGAGAGCCACCGUGCCCGGCUGAUGUACAUAUUCUUGCUUGUUAUGUGCACAAUUUUCUUCUCUCAUUAUUUCAUGCAAUUUUUGCUGGAAGUAAACUUUACCCUUUAGUGUUUAGGUACCAUUCUCUUGUUCUGUAUUCUAUUCAGAUGGGAUUGAAACUGAAUUAGAAGAGUCAACACAGCUCAGAGAUUGACAGUGACUGGUGAGCUUUACAUGUCCUCAUUUUUGAGAGAGGGUAACAGCUUCCAAUUAAUUACAUCUCCUUGGGCACAAAGAAUUGCUUUUGUGGUGGGACAGAAGUUCAAAGGUGUAGAAGGCUGUGUGCAGAUGCUGAGUGGCUAACAGGGGCUGUGCCAGUUAGGAAGCUCGUCUCUCAGUUCCACACCCGCUCUUUUUAGCUCUGCUUUUGUGAUACCAGCGACAGAACUCUGCAAACAUCUCUGCUUCGCAGCUGGCAUCCUGUUGGAUUUUUCCAGUAGAGGGAAGCUUCCAUGCUGCAGGAAGAAGGGGCGUGCUCCUUCCCGUUCCUGUCAGCACUGCUGCAGCAGUUUGCUCUCACAGCUGCAUGUGAUCCCAGCUGCCAUUUCUGACCUGCUCAGAACCAGCUUCAUGAUGGGCUCAAAGACCCAGGACCAGGUGAGCAACACCCAUCCUUAGAGCACUUCUGGAAGUUGCUACUUCCUUAAUUCUUGUGUGGGUUUUUUGCUUUUUUGGUUACUGUGUCAGUAAUUCUUUUUAUCAUAUUGUUGAAAUAACUGGAAUGGUUUCUGUCUCCUAUUUGGACCAUGACUGAUAGACAGAGAGAGGAGAUUUCUAUCUACAGAAACUAAGUCUCAAGACUGUAUUGUUUUAAAUCCUUUGUCAACAAUAACUGAGGCUCAGCAAAGCCUCUUUCUCCCUCAGUGUUUCAUGUGGGCACCAACCGUCGGCAUGCCCCAUGUGUCCCUCUUUAGGCUAAGAUACUUAAUAUAACUAAAACAUUCCAAGCUUAGGCUGAGUGAUUUCUUACAGUAAAAUCAAAUUCUUUAAACUUUCUUCUAUUCCAAUAUUCCUUAUCCCAAGUUAAG
Molecule: long non-coding RNA, 3669 nt
Filed under: Homo sapiens (human)
Lineage: Eukaryota; Metazoa; Chordata; Mammalia; Primates; Hominidae
Description: PREDICTED lncRNA (TCONS_00165193)
Source: RNAcentral